Stegostoma tigrinum is the source of this 251-nucleotide long non-coding RNA. RefSeq lists it as uncharacterized. The record is from RefSeq and is a predicted model, not a curated record. The transcript is spliced from 3 exons. NCBI's taxonomy places the organism in Eukaryota, Metazoa, Chordata, Chondrichthyes, Orectolobiformes, Stegostomatidae.
ACAAUCAUUGCCUUGGAAGCUUCAUCACGAUACUACUUUGCAUUUCUGAAGAGGGAAGAAGAAAUCAACAUGCAAAUUCAAUUCCAUGGUUUUGGAAGUCCCAUUGAGAACACGAUUCAUGUGCGCUGGCAUAAUGCUCUGACCGAGAAAGAAUCGAAGCUUCCGCUUGGAAGAAAGAUUCACAUCAAGUUGACUGGUCAAGUAAAUGGGACACUGACUAACCAUACAAUUAGACUGUUUUGAUGAGGAAC